This 342-nucleotide ribosomal RNA is filed under the name Triticum aestivum (bread wheat). RNAcentral describes it as "partial small subunit ribosomal RNA". The record is from RNAcentral. Lineage: Eukaryota; Viridiplantae; Streptophyta; Magnoliopsida; Poales; Poaceae.
AUGGGUGCUUAUGAAAUUGAAUCUAUGUUCAAAGAAUAUGAAAAUCUUUAUGAUGCUGUUUACAGACCUGAAAAUUUAGCUAUCCUUAUAUAUUGUUAUGAGAAUUAUGAAUACAAUUCCAAUAUUGAUGCGUUUAUUGAGAAAGUCUCCGCUGUCCCAGAAGAGACUAAUAUUUUGCAGGAAUCUAUGGAAGAAGAAAUUGAUGAAACUAUGAGCUCAUUGGAUGAAAAAGAUGAGGAGGAGAGCGAAGAACAAAAGGAGGAAGAGUGGAUUGAUCACCCGUGCCCACCUUCUAAUGAGAGUAACUCUUCAACUCAUACAUUGUUUAAUUUCCCUUCAUGA